Molecule: long non-coding RNA, 1333 nt
Organism: Symphalangus syndactylus (siamang)
Lineage: Eukaryota; Metazoa; Chordata; Mammalia; Primates; Hylobatidae
Source: RefSeq, a predicted model, not a curated record
GUGGUGGCUCAUGCCUGUAAUCCCAGCACUUUGGGAGGCUGAGGCGGGUGGAUCACAUGAGGUCAGGAGUUCGAGAACAGCCUAGCCAACAUGGCAAAACCCCAUCUCUACUAAAAAUACAAAAAUUAGCCAGGAGUGGUGGCACAUGCCUGUAAUCCCAGCUAUUCGGGAGGCCAAGGCAGGAGAAUCGCUUGAACCCAGGAGGCAGGGGUUGCAGUGAGCCAAGAUGGCACCACUGCACUCCAGCCUGGGUGACAGAACGAGAUUCCAUUUAAAAGAAAAAAAAAGAGAAAUCUAAUCCUGGAUGAGAGUCCAGGGAAAGUGAGAGUGGAGCAAGCUUACAUGAAAACGCAGACCAGAUCCCUGAGUGUGGACCUGGAUAACGUGACACACGUCAUCAGAUUCAGAUUAAGUGGUAUCGCCUGAAGUUUCAUCAGCCUUCGGUGUGGAGUUGGCCUGAUGUCCCCCAAGAUGAAUAGACUUGUCUCUCCCAAAGAAGCUUCUUCCACUCUGAUAAAAGAAAGGAAAAAUAGGCAAAGCCACAGACAAUGUGAUGAGUAUUAUAAUAAGAGAUUUGUUUAGUUUGGCUCCAAACAUAGGAGGGAGUAGCCAACUAUAUCUGGGGUCAACCAGAAGUAGAGAAGUAGGCCCUGGCUGGAGGAGAAAGAUUUUACCAGGCAGAGGGAACAGUGUGUGCAAAGGCCCUGAGGUUUGAAUCAACCUGGAAUGCUAAGAAAAACAUGCACGGACAUCUGUGUAGCUGGAGUAAAGAUACGAGAAGAGGCUGGUGAGGUGGGCAGAGAGCUGAUCUGAAAGAACUCCAAUCUCAAGGUAAAGAUAUCAUUCAUUCCUUCCUUCCUUCCUUCAUUCAUUCAACAAAUCUUACUGAGAAAUGAAUAAACACCUGUAAGUGUCCAUUCCAGUGAGGAUAAAUUGCUACCCAGGAGCGAGAGGGAAUAGUGUGAUGUCUUAUGGGUUGAUAAGAUGACCAAGGUCCCAGACAGUCUAGAGGGAAUCACACCUUCUAUCACUGUUGGAGUAAAGAACACUCUUCAUUCAGGCUAACUUCUACAGGCAAAACGCCUUUUCCUGUAGAUUUCCAGUUCAUUAGCUGAAUACCAGGUGCCAGGGGCUGUGUUGAUUUGCUGAAGGAGACCUUACCCUGAGAAGACCAGCCACCUCCGAAGGUUAUGUGCCUGCUCCCUCUUCACCUUCGGCCAUGAGUGGAAAAGCUCCCUGAGGCCUGCCCAGAAGCUGAGCAGAUGCCAGCACCAUGCUUCCUGUACAGCCUGCAGAGCCGCGAGCCAAUUAAAUCUCUCUUCUUUAUAAAUUA